Long non-coding RNA from Micropterus dolomieu (smallmouth bass), 804 nucleotides. RefSeq lists it as uncharacterized. The record is from RefSeq and is a predicted model, not a curated record. The transcript has 4 exons. Lineage: Eukaryota; Metazoa; Chordata; Actinopteri; Centrarchiformes; Centrarchidae.
CAGAAACGCAUGGUGAGUCAGCCUGUUGCCAAAGUUGCACUAGUCUCUGGAACAGUCUGGCUGGGGGACCUGAGAGACUCCAACUCUGAGGGCAUUUUUAAAAGAAACCUGAGGGGAAUGUGACCACGGGCCCCACCUACUUUCUGCCCCCUUUUUUUUUGAGCUGUUGUUUUACACUUUGCAGUUUGGUAUUUAAGCCCUUCAAUGGAUGUAGUCUUGCAUCUCCUAUAAACCAAGCUACCUCAUUAGAGUAAACGACUUCUCCUGAAGAUGUCAGUAGGGGGCUUUGAGAUCAUAGGGCCCGACGCCAGUGCAGAAGUCGAAGCCUCUCUGACAUCUGUCAGCAUCAAAGUCUUUGGCAAAGCACAACUGGCCAGUGCUUCACUCACCGCUGGUCCUGUGAAAGCUACAGUCGGUCUGGCAGCAGAUACUGGUGCCAAGAUCAGUUUGGCAGGUGUAGAGGCAAAGGUGUUCGGGACAGGCUUCUCCUUUGGUCGUAAAAUGGGCCUUUCUUGGCUUGGCAAUGGGAUUGAAUUAAAUUUGUGGUAAAAUGUGGCUUUGUGCCAAAUAGGCCUACUGCUCUUUGUGAUUAAGACUUUUGCCUUCUAUUCAAACAAUGAAAGCAUUCAACUGCAGCAUUUACAAAUGAAACUUGUUGUGACAGUAGUGUAUGUCUUCUCUGUAGAUAAACAUUUGAACUUGAUAUGUGAUUUUCAGUCUCUAAUUCUUUAGAGAACAGAGAAAACAAAAAUUACCAGUUUCUGUCUAAAUAAAGUACACAAAUGAGAUUUUUGUACUUUUACA